This 1997-nucleotide long non-coding RNA is filed under the name Equus caballus (horse). RNAcentral's name for it is "lncRNA (ENSECAG00000051444.1)". Lineage: Eukaryota; Metazoa; Chordata; Mammalia; Perissodactyla; Equidae. The record is from RNAcentral.
GAAGUGGGAAAGGUGAAAAACACUUUAUCAACAACUUUGACUUUGAAGGAGAAAAGAGACAUAGAAUGAAAACCAGAAGCCUAAAGACAGCAGCAUGACCCAAAAACUUCCUGGUCUCUCCACCGUGGACAAUCAGGCCACUGGAAAGGGAGAUGAAACUGAAGGCCUCUGCCCUCUGAGAAGAUGAACAGAACUCACCAGAGCACAAAGAAAAUAAAUAUCUACUCCUGGUUGAAGUCUUUUUUCGACUAGAGUCAUGGCCUUCACAGGGAGACAAUCUAUUGACCACUUCCGGAGCUGUGCUGUGGAAAAAGAAGAGACCAGAAAAAGGAAGCCUUGGGGACAUGUUUUGCAUGAAUUAGCAAAGUCCAAUGAAGGGCGUCUACGUGGUGAAAGAAAUCAGUGGCCAGCCCAGUGUCGCAGCGGUUAAGUGCGCACGUUCCGCUUUGGUGGCCCGGGGUUCACUGGUUCGGAUCCCGGGUGUGGACAUGGCACCGCUUGGCAAGCCAUGCUGUGGCUGGAACAUGUAUAUGGUGGUGACCGAGCUUUGGCCAUGCAGGAGAUGGCAGGAGCAACAUAAAGCCUGGUCCACUCUCAGCUGCAUGCACUGCACCCACCCCAGGUCUUUUGUUCAUAUUCAAGCAGAGGUGCCAAUGAAAACAAACCAGAGAUGUCUGCACAGAGUUCCUGCCCUAAGAAAAGCCCAGGGCAGAAAGGUGAGCAUGUCCAAUGCAAAGAGUCUCAGAGCUCCUAAUGACUCCAGCCCAGAACUGCAGCAGAAGUUGCCAGUGAGACCAUCACUGGGGUGAAGCUGAUGGGGCUCCUGCACACGUCUGUGGAAGAUACAGAGUGGAAUGUACCCCAGGGAGGACUGGGCCGGUAUGGCACAUGGAGUAACGAAGAUCAGCAUCGCUGACCAGAAUCUAUGCCCAUUAUGAGCGAGCAGGGGGAAGGCGGCCUGCAUGCUGCCCAGGGUGGGUGAGAACUGACCUGGUGGGACACAAGGCCACCUGGGCCCAGAAGAAACAGCAGAGACCUAAGUAUUUGGUCCUUUUGUCCCCAAAGAUUGAGGGGCCUCAGGGACAGUUUGGGAGAAAAAUUUAAUGCUGAGCUGGACUCACAGCUCCAUUCUUGGGCACCAUUUUGUUGCCUGUCCUGACUUAGCCAAAUGGACAUUUAACACUUGUCAAAAAUAUCCCUUCAGAACACUCACUCUGAGUUGCCUGCUAAUUCCAUGAAGUCAUUUGUGGUUCUUCCAUGAUAAUCUAUAGGGGGAAACUGUGUAAUUGCUAAAAAUAAUGAAUGUAAAUCAACACACAAUAAGUGGUUCUUUAUAAAUACCUAUUUGCGCAGGUUGUUUACCUGCUGAAACAGCUCCAUCUCAAAAGAAUAAUAUACCAUUUAAAAAUUAGGUCAAGUUGGGGCUGGCCCUGUGGCCUGGUGGUUAAGUUCAGCAUGCUCCGCUUUGGUGGCCCAGGUUCAGUUCCCAGGUGCAGACCUACACCACUCAUCGGUGGCCAUGCUGUGGCAGUGACACACAUACAAAAUAGAGGAAGAUUGGCACAGAUGUUAGCUCAGGGCUAAUCUUCCUCAGGAGGAAAAAAAAGCUGGGUUAAGGGAAAGGACAAAAUAACUCAGGGUUUGACAAACUUUCUGUAAAGGGUGAGAUAGUAAAUAUUUUCAGAUUUGCAGGCCACACGGUCUCAGUAAAUGAGACAAAAGGUUCCCAGAAGGCUUAGGUAAUUCUGUGAGUUGACUGUGAGACAAAAAUAUGCCCUCUGUCGAUUAUAAAAAAUAUCUCACAAUGUUCCAGAAAAGGUGAUUUUACUUCCCUUCGUUCACAAAAUUAUUUGUGAAUUAAAUGCUAGUGAAAACGGAGACUACAGGGCACGUCAAAGAGCCAUGGAGAAUCGUGCCUUGAUGUGGUUUGUCCACUUCCCUCAACCACUGCUCUAGCUGUUGUAGGGAGUUAUUUCUAACUUCUCUAUGAGACCCUC